RNAcentral lists this ribosomal RNA (253 nucleotides) under uncultured bacterium. RNAcentral describes it as "partial 16S ribosomal RNA". It matches the Rfam family "Bacterial small subunit ribosomal RNA", at positions 524 to 776 of the family's 1533-position model. The record is from RNAcentral.
GACGUAGGGUGCGAGCGUUGUCCGGAUUUAUUGGGCGUAAAGAGCUCGUAGGCGGCUCGUCGCGUCGACCGUGAAAACCCGCGGCUUAACUGCGGGCUUGCGGUUGAUACGGGCGGGCUAGAGUUCGGUAGGGGAGACUGGAAUUCCUGGUGUAGCGGUGAAAUGCGUAGAUAUCGGGAGGAACACCAGUGGCGAAGGCGACUUCCUGGCCUGUUCUUGACGCUGAGGCGCGAAAGCUAGGGUAGCAAACGGG